RNA transcript from Ananas comosus (pineapple), 1741 nucleotides. RefSeq lists it as uncharacterized. The record is from RefSeq and is a predicted model, not a curated record. The transcript has 2 exons. NCBI's taxonomy places the organism in Eukaryota, Viridiplantae, Streptophyta, Magnoliopsida, Poales, Bromeliaceae.
GGCCAUCUCACCCGUCCAUAUCAAAACGAGCGGCGGAUGCGGCGCUUGUCGAUCUAUAUAAGAGGAUAGAGGUGAGGAGGCAGAGGAAGGGGCGCGGAUAAAGAGGUCGUGGUCAUUUCUGAAUACCCAGAUGUGUAGGGUCGGGCUCUGUGCCCACACCCCCCAUCACUGCUUCGCUUUUAUUACUCUCUCUCUCUCUCUCUAUCUACUAUUUAUUAUUAUUAUUAUUAUUAUUAUUUUUAUAUCUCUCUCUUUUUUGUAUGUGUGUGUGAGUAAAAAAAAAAAAAAAAUCUGACCCGAGAAAAGUAAUCAUUUCACCUAUCAUGACCAGCGCUUUCUCUCUCCUCUCAUUUCAUUACUAUACAUACAUACCCAGUAUGAGCGUGACACAGUAUAAGCGUGACCCAGUAUAAGCGUGAGCGUGAGCAUGAGCUGAGAAGAGAUGGAAGAUGGAAGAUGGAAGAUGGAAGAAGGGGAGUUUUUUUAGUUGAGGGGAAUGUUGUCUGGCUCGAGGCCGGCGGAGAUCGAGCAGAUCGCCUUUUUUCUGUAGAGAUCUCGGACCAGGCUUCAUUCCCCUCAGCUAUAGCUCCCAAAUUGAAACACUUCUCCAAGAAAAUUCUGCCAUAUGUAUGUGGGGAUGGUGAUCAAUUCCAGGAUGUUUCCUGCCAUGUUUGUUUGUUGUUUUCUGCAUAUGAGAGGGAGAAGAUGCAGAUUGGUGUAAUGAUGAUGGGUUUUGACACUCUCUCUCUCUCUUUCUCUCUCUCUUCUUACAUUCUUGAUCUUACUUGUUAAGCAGUUAUGAUUACUUUCUCUGUUUUCUUUUCUGACAGGAAGGGAAAAAGGUUAUCAUGAUUACCUUUUGAUUGAAGGAUCUUCUUUUUGUUUCUCGUCCACUUUUUUUAAAAAAUAAAAUAAAAUAAAAUCAUGUUUAUUCUUUUUUAAAUUAUUAUUAUUCUACUUUUUAGUGCCCUACUAACCUUACUUUGCUGAUUUUGCUUUUUUUUUUUUUAAUCAGCAUCAAGAGGUUAGAACUUGUAAAGCUGAUCUCAAUUAUGGUAAUCUCCUCAGGUGUCAAAGUGCUUAUUUCGCCUUAGAUCUUGCUGAUACAGCGAUAUUUUAGUGUACCUACUUUAUUUUUGGUUUAAAUGCAUCCAUCUCUAAAAUAGAGGUAUGCUCUUAUGAUCUUGUCAAAUGGUGGUCUUACGACUGCGAAUAACAAAAAUUUCUAUUUUUUCUUCGCUUUUGUGUGAUUUUUCAGGCUUCUUCCGGUGGAUUCACCGUGUGAUGAACUCCGUAAGCUUUAUUAAUCUUACUGUAAGGUCUUUAUAUGGUCUUUAUAUGAUCCUACUACAAGAAGAAAGCUUUUAUUGUGAACUAUUUGUUUAUCGGAUGUUUCAAGAUUCUUCGCCAAAUCAAGAGAUAUCAUCACUAGGCAGCAUGAAUAUGAUGCUGAUAUCCUUCUCUACGUCGUAGAUUUGAUAUAAAUUAGUUAGGAUUUAUGGUUGAUGAUAAGUACCAAGGUGUAUGUAUUAAUUGUUUUUUUAGUUCCUUAUUUGCAGAUAAUAUGGGAUGCAACAUUUACCAGUUACUAUCAGUGUCUCUUCUGAGCUGUUCUUCUUUUUUUUCAUUUUUGUUUCUUUUCUACACAUGAUUCUGUGCAGCAUCACAUGCAUGUGUUCUUUGUAUGUACCAUAAUAUACCUUGGAAAUGAUUUAUAAUUAUUUUGUUUUGUAUUUAGAAA